This 783-nucleotide long non-coding RNA is filed under the name Anas platyrhynchos platyrhynchos (common mallard). Its description in RNAcentral is "lncRNA (ENSAPLG00000023340.1)". Lineage: Eukaryota; Metazoa; Chordata; Aves; Anseriformes; Anatidae. The record is from RNAcentral.
GUUCCGAUCAGAUGCCAGGGGUUUGGAGCUCGCUUCCAGCUGUGGGCUCGCCGUCUGUAGCAGUGAUGCUUCGGGAUCACUCGUGAUAAUUUGAAGCUUGUUGAGCAUACCGAUUAUUGUGCUUUUUCAGUCUUCUGGCCAGGGUUUAGCUGGCACGCGUGGUGCCGUGAGGCAAGCAGUGCCUAUUUUCUGUAACACUGCAAGGUGGCAGCCUACGGCUUCGGAGGUGGCUGUGCAGUAAUCAGAUAAACACUGCUUCUACACAAAUCCAUCCGAAUGUGAACCUUUUAAUCUGUACAGUGUCUCCUAUAUUAUCUGAUGUUCUGUCGCCAUUUGUUUUCCCCUCGCUUUUCAGCACGCCGUCAAUGCCAGUCCUGCACCAGUUGUCAGAGGAAGAAGGAUGAUUUGGGUGAUUUUCUGUCCUCGGAGAGGUGGCAGGACACCCUGAGUGACACGAUCCCUUCAGUCUGGCUGCAGGACAGGAGCUUAGCCUGAGCUGGACAACUGCCCACGUGGGUGCACGGUGCAAUUCCAGCAGGACGUGAGAGCAGAGAGGAGGAGAAAUGGGAAAGGAAAAAAAAGUUUUGGCACGGCUGAAGCAAGGACCUUGGUGGCAGUGCCACCCGAGGAGUUCGAACCUGCUGUGCAGUUCCACAGAUCAGCCCUUCCUCCGAAGUGGAACAGCACGGGGUGAAAUCUUCAGCUUUCAUGGCCAGGAAGAAACACUAACAAAGCCAAAUGAGCAGCUCUUGAGUACCCCAGGGACCUUAAGAACAUCCAUGA